Poecilia latipinna (sailfin molly) is the source of this 404-nucleotide long non-coding RNA. RefSeq lists it as uncharacterized. The record is from RefSeq and is a predicted model, not a curated record. Lineage: Eukaryota; Metazoa; Chordata; Actinopteri; Cyprinodontiformes; Poeciliidae. The transcript has 2 exons.
AAAAGGAACAGUGGUCCGUAUUAAGCAAGACAAAGACCUGGAAAUGAAAUGGGAAAUUGUCUGCAAGAAGACUUGCACAAAGAAACAUGUGGUGGAGUGGAGUUAAAGUGAAGGUUCUUCCUGAUGAGCAGAAAUAUUUGGACUUGGAGAGCAAAUAAGAGGCAGAAGGAAGGAAACGUGAGAGAUGCCCUAUGCAAUCCUUCGCUGGAACACGGCGAGCGCUCGACCAAUGGCGGCUCACGCAUGGAGGGUUUCCACGGCUACCCCCAAUCUUCCUCAUCCUCAGGUCUCCCAAGCUCCCUCCCCUCCCUGUGUCUUCCCUUCUGUUCACAUCUUCUCUGCCUUGUAAAAAUAAAUAAAUAAAAAGGUAAAUGAACACAAGAUGUCACCUGAAAUGAGAACAA